This 658-nucleotide long non-coding RNA is filed under the name Homo sapiens (human). RNAcentral's name for it is "HSALNT0026335". The record is from RNAcentral. Lineage: Eukaryota; Metazoa; Chordata; Mammalia; Primates; Hominidae.
UCUCCUUAACUUGUUUCUUAACUACCAUUUUUCGGUUUCAUCCACUCAAAUGAACAAUUCCUUUGGCCAAUUAUAUCUGGUUUUUUCUGUUUCUCUACAAGCACCUGUAUUGCUAUGACUCCUGGACUCAAGAUGUCACAGCUCCCAGAGGUCCUAACCAAAUCCUGAGCACCUCCAAGCUGGGAGACCUUCCCGAGCCUAUGCUCUGGGCUCCUGACUGAGCGAUGGAUGUUAUGUGCAGCCUCUACUCAAUUGCCCCAAGGUCCCCCCAUGUUUUACCUUCCACGAAGGGAAAACUCACCUUGGGGACCUGGGGACCUCGAGCUAAAUGAUGAUUGAUCUGUUGCAUGAUGUGGAUUGGGAACAAGGUUGGCAAAUUCAAUGCAGGCUAUGACUUCUGGGAUCUUCACCUCCCUCCUCCUCUAGCAAACACCUGGUGUCCUGGAAAUAUAACUUGAGAUUUUGAACACAGGACUCCAGAAGCCCUGAGAGAGCAUAAAAAACACAGAAUAAAAAAGGUGAUGACCUGAUUCGUUUUCAUUGCAGUCCCUACCAUGUACUAACUCUAACUUAAUUGAGUCUCCUGACAUCUUUGAGGCUCGGGUUUGUUACAUAGAAAAUAAAGAGAGAGGAUUUUUCUACCUCUAAAACAUUCUAA